RNAcentral lists this long non-coding RNA (359 nucleotides) under Equus caballus (horse). RNAcentral describes it as "lncRNA (ENSECAG00000047861.1)". Lineage: Eukaryota; Metazoa; Chordata; Mammalia; Perissodactyla; Equidae. The record is from RNAcentral.
AGUAGAGAGAAGCUUGUAUGGGAAGUGUCAAGGUCAGCCGUCCAGUCAAAGUCAGGCGGCAGGGAAGAUCUGGUGGGUAAGCAGCACUCAGUUCACAUCUAACCUCAGCUUCACUGGCACCCAUGGUUUUGGAGACGAUGAACUGUUCCUGCAAAAGUGCUUCAUCUUCAAGGAGAUUCAUGGAAAGACUCUGACGAGUACAGAUCUGAUAACACAUGAGUUUGCUGUCACACGGGAGGAGCAACAAUGCACCUUUCAAGUGCUUCCCCAAGGCUACCUGCAUAGCAUGUCUCGCUGUGUCGUGGGAUGGUAGCCAGAAGCCUGUCUCUGUUCUGCUUCCCCCAUCAGUAAAAUGGGCC